UCUCUCUCUCUCUCUCUCUCUCUUUCUCGACAAUGCUAUCUGUAAAUUUUAUUAUAGAGCGUAAAUUUUAUUCUCCAUCAUUUAAAAAUUUAAUUUUUUUAAAAAAAUUAGUAAUAAAAAAAAUUAUGAGACAAAUGAGUAAAACUAGGCUAUGAAUAAUUUAGGAUGUACAAUUUAUACAUAUAUUGAGUCCGGCCUUUACGAGUAUGAUCACUUUCACACUUAUAAGUCAUUUUCGAUGAUAGAGUUUUUGAAUCGGUGAUUCAUAUUAUUAAAUAUGAUUUAGAAUAUUUAAAAUUUUUAGAAAUUAAAUAUUAUAAUUUUUCGAUAUUAUUUGCCUUACAAUCAAAAGAUUUUAAAAUUAAUCAUUUUUAACGGCUGACAUGUGAUACUUACUAAUUUAAUAGUGUAAAAGAAUCGAAAUUGGUUGAAUUUUUAAUACAAAAUUUUAUUCAGCAUCUAUAUAAAGAUCAAUAACUCUGAUCUUACAUUGAAGGAUUCGAUUAUUCAUUUUUAGGGCAUCUUUCAAUUUUGACUAUUUAUUUUAUGCAUGUUUGAUAGAUCUUAUUAUGAUUUUGAAAAAUUACAUUUUUUUUUUUUAGAAGUUUCAAACACUCAAUAUCAUAAUUAACAUAAUUGAUCGUUAAUUCAGAAGCUUCAUCAUCGAAAACAACUUAUGAGUACGAAAAGGUCUAUACAAAUAAGAGUAUAAUAGCGCACUAGCACUGCUCUACAUAUAUUAUAGAUUUAUACAUUGCAUUGUUUUUUUUUUUUUGUUGGAUGUUUUCAAGAUCCUUUCACUAAUAAAAUAAAACACUAACUUAAGAUCAUUACCCUUUUGUUGACAUGUGAAAGCUUAACAUUGAUUGAAGAUCACCCACACAUCACUUGAUCUUUUUAUUUAUUUUAAUAUGAAACAAAACUUGCGUGGAUUUGAUCAAAAUUGUCGGUUGCCCAGUUGUCCUAUUUUUUAAAAGUGAAAUACACAAUUAAGGGGAAAAAAAAAAUCAUUAUAGGGGUAGGUCUCACUACCAUAAAAAUAUGACAAAGAAGUGGUAAGAAUAUAAAAGUAUAACAAUUAUGAGAUGGGACUUAAACAAUUAUGGUAUUAGAUCACAGUCACAAACGUUUUGUUUCAAAAAAAAAAAAAAAAAAAAAAAAAAAAAAAGAGAAUGGUGAUCCACUCAACCAUAAAGCCAUUUUGAAAUGGCCCAAAACUUUUUAUAAUGUUAAUUCAUUUAGUGUUUAAUCUGUUGAAUUAAUUUUCUUAUUAUUCUUUAUUAAUAAUUAACAGCUAACUUAGUAACUAUUUUAUUAAUUCGCACGCUCUUAAAUCUCAGAUACUGUAAAACAUUUCUUAUGGUUUAAAAUUGAAACGAAAUCCAAGUUGUAUAGUAUAAAAUUGAAUAUUUUGUUCCUAGAUAUAAAAAUAUGUUCUUAUAAUAGUAAUUUAUUAGUUAGGUACAUAUCAAAAUCAUUCUAUAAACAAACUAAUUAAAGAUUUUUUUUUUUUAUUUUUUCCAAGAUACUUUGCAGUGUUACCUCCUUUCUCAUUCUCACAUUCAUUCUUUUUCUUUCUUUCCUUUUUUUUUUUUUUCCACCCCACCUUUUCCUGAGCUUUUUUGACCAUCCUCAGUGGCAACUCAGAUCUUAUUGAGAUUUGCAUGGGCAUGCAUUAUGUUCUCCCAAAAGUAAAUAGUGAAAAAAAAAAAAAAGGAUCAGGUAUUGUUCACAAGUACUGAGAAAUCAUAACUUUUCGAUAAAUAAGUGUUAUAAAAUGUCAUAACAUAACAUUUAAUUAACCGCCAAAUCUUCUUAUUCACAUUUUCGAUUGAGCUUAUUUCUAAAUAAAUGAACGAAUCAAAUAGUAUGCUAUUUUUUUCUAAAAAAAAAAAUUAUUUCAACUAUACUGAAAGUGUGAAACAAUUAAGAUGCACUAUCUGCCUAUCAUGUUUACUUGUCUGUCUUAAUACAUAUAAUUCUGCAGCUCAUCAGCAGCAUCUUGACAUGCACUAUUUAGAUUGACUUGUACAGAUAAACCCCUAUCACAGAUGAGCUAUGAGAUUAGUCGUGUGCUCAAAAAAUUUUGUACACGGAGUUGUAGACAAACUCCGCCCUGUUUCUCUUUGACCUGCUCUGAUGGAUCUUGUUGAGCUCGAGUGCACCAAAAGGGUCGUACAGUUUCCACUAAAUCCAACCUAGAUAUGACCUAACACGACCCACAAGUACGACUCUCUGGAGCAUGAUCUUGUAUUAUAUCUUAUUGAACUUGUGCUAGAAAAGCAGUUCACUUCUGAAAAAAACAAGUGGCCUAUAAUUUACGGUGCGAUGCACCACUAUUUUGAGCAGUGUGUUGAUAACUUUAUCACCAGACGAAAGAGAUUUCGAGCUUAUAUUUUACAGAAACAAGUGCAUGUUAAAACCGUAUAGUCUUUUUGAUUGAAAUACGAAGGUGCAUUGGCGAAUUUUAUAAGUUUGUAAGUGGGACGGUGCGAUUACCCUAGAGAAGCGAUUUUUUAAACAGAUAAAUGGAUGUAAAUCGAGGUAUUCUAUUUGACAGUUGUAUUUUCAACUACAUGCAAUUUUGGACGGCUACCUAGUCUCCGCCUUCAUCUUUAGGUUCAAUUGCCGUAUUUGUACUGCAAACUAAACAGAAUUUUUAGACUCUUGUUGACGCAAAAUUUUGGUCGUCGGAUUGUCUUAGCAGUUUAGUAUUUGGCAAGAAAUAAUCAUCACGGAGUUUUUAGGAUACGAUCAAAAUUUCUAGGAUUCAAAUUUCAAAUGAGAUUUAGCAUUUGCAGCAGUCACGGAGUUUUUAACAUCUCUGGCGAAGCAUUUGCAGCAGUGCAUUUUUGUUAAAAUAUAUCGUGAAGCCAAUAGGGCCGCUGAUUAUUUAGCAAGUCAUGCACUUAAUUCAAGAAGUAAACUGGCUUUUGAUCCUACAAGUGACCUUCCCAUAGACUUUGUUAGGAUACUUUUUGAAGACUUUGCAGGUAGAGUCUUUUUGCACAAAGUGUAAUCGGUUUUUGCUUUUAACAAAUUAGCCUGUUGGCUCUUUUGACCAAAAAAAAAAAAAAAAAAAAAAAUCAAAUGAGAUUCCGACUUAUCAGAAGAGUCGGAUUCUAAUUAGAGAAAGGAACUCCCCUUCAACAAAAAUAAUUAUAUAUCUAACAAUUCUCAAGCAAUUUAGGAGUAGUAGUAGCUUUUGUAUUCAAGUAAUAGUUUCGAUAGGUUUAGUUUCGGCAGUUUCCUAUAGUAAUAGUUUCAAUAGGUUUAGUAGUAGUAGUUUCUACAGUAAUAAUUUCGACAGUUGAUUCACAUUUCCAGCUAAGUUUAUUUCUAAAUGAAAUAAACGAAGCGGGUAGCGUGCUACCUAUCUCUCUUAAAAAAAAAAAAAAAAAUUCCGACAAUUUCUCUUCCAGGAAUUUCAGCUAUUUUGUAAGAUUAGGCCGAGAUUUCGAAUUUUUAGGGCAUUUCAACUUCAAAGAAGCGACGAUGGAAUCCAAAUCAUCCAAGUUCGACCUGUUUCAAGUGGUCAAAUAUACGUGCUCUGAGAAGGUCAAAUCCUAACGGAGAACCCGAGCCAAAAAACAUGCAUUCCCAACUCUCCAUCCAUUAUAGUCAUUUGCUUAUCUAUAUAUAUAUAUAUAUCUAUACCUAUACAUUAUUUCUUCUAAAUUUAUCACAUGAUAACAUUCUCUUUAUUGUUCAGUGUGGGCUCCAUCUAGAACCGGUUCAAAUUCUUUCUCUUUCUUUGCUUAAACUGAAUCGAUCGUUAUUGAGCAUGGGCGUUCCUCCGAACCUUCUCAAGUUUUUUCACAUAUUUUUCUCUUUCUUUAUUUGAACCAAAUCCGGUUUCUCUCUUUCUCUGCUUGAACCAAAUCAAGUCAACUUAUUGCAUUGGACCGAACCGACCCACCUGCUCCACAUGUUUUUAUCUUUGACCCGAAUUUUUCUCUUUUUUAUUUGAACCGAAUCGAUCACUAUCGAGUGUGAGCUCCACCCCGAACUGGCUGAAGUUUUCUUCUUUCUUUUCUUGAACCGAACCGGAUUUUCUUUUUCUUUUUCUUUUUUUUUUUGUACCGAGCCGAAUCACACUUCUAUAUUAGGCUGAACUAUUCUUAUUUCUCUUCCUUUAGCUGUUACUUUCGUUCAUCAGUAAGAUGACUCCCAUCCCUCAUCAUCGCUUCUUUUAUCGCCAUUUUCUCUUUUUUUAUCGUUAUUUUUUAUUUUUUCUCCAAUUAUCUACACGUCAUGGGUUAUUUAUUUAUUUAUUUAUUUGGCUCAAUAGCUUGCUUUUACAAAUUGCAAAUUAACAUAGGAAGAACUAAAUAGUCCCUUUUAGUUCAAACAAGCAUUAAUUGUAACAGUUAAUGGCUUACCCUACUUAGAUCCGAAUCCGACCCAUUAUCAUUUUUUUUUUUUUUUAACUUCACCAUUACACGAAAAGGGCCUUUUACUUACCUCCUACUCCCCAGACCCCAAGGAUCCAUUUUUUUUUAUUUUAAUUAUAAAUUCCUCGAGCCUAGGCGUUUCCUACUCAUUUAAUUUAACACAUUAAUAAAAAAAAAAAAAAAACACAACUAACACCACAAGAGAGACACAAGAAUCUUUGACCCAAAAAGGAGAGUGGGGGGUGGCAAGAUAUGAAUCUUUUUUUUUAUAUUUUUUAAAAUUUUUUUAAAUUUUUUUUUAACUCUUCAUUACAGAGCACGUAAAGUGUAAGUUAACGGCGUAUAUUUUAGCUUUGAACCAAAAAGGAUACAAAGCCACUAAAGUGUUUGAGAUGUGUUCUCUCUCAAUCAUUUCCUCCACCAAAGGUGGAGUUACAAACAGGAGCUAAUAAUGAAAAUUGAUAUUGCCCAAGUACUUGGUAGUAAACCUAACUAUGAUUUGAAUACUUUUACUGUGACAAUAAUAAAAAUUACUUUAAUAAUAUUAAGUUUUUAUUAAUAAUUGGGUCAGAAUCUGAUCAUAAGGGUGAGUGAACCAAAUGGGAUCUGAAAUUUUUAUCCAGAUUUUUUUAUUUUUUUUUUGGAAAAAGAGUAGUACGCUACCUGCUUCCUUCAUUUAAAAAAUAAAUUUAACUACAGAGGUUGAGGCAAUAUAACCUCCAAAAAUACAAAUGAAAGUAAAGAGAAAAAAAUCGUAGAGAAUUUGCUAAUUCUACUCCUCACUCAAGACUAAGUCACUAAGAGCUGCAAGACUCAGCUCAUUUCUGGCUCACUUUCCGGAUUCGUUUAAUUGUCAAAAAAGGGUCAAAUGAUUGAUUCCUAAAAAUUAUGUCAUUUCUUUCCCGCCAGAUCAUUUACCAACAUGUUGCGAUCGUGAUUAGAUCCCUCACUGUUGCCCAUCAGGGACGGUCCCCAACCAGAAGCUCCUAGACACCCCUGACCUCCAUCCCAGGUUUUGGGAUGAUGUUGAAUAUUAAAAAUCUGCUGAUUACGCAUCCAACAAGCAGAUGAUCAAUAAUCUCAACAUCGUUGCCGCACAUCACAUACUGUUGAUUCUCGGAUCGGCCUCUUUUGAGUAAGUUGUCAAACGUAGAUAGGCAUUUCUUAAGUACUAACCAAAUAAAAAUUCUAACUUUAGAUGGUAUUUUCAACUCCCAAACCUUCGGCGAAAGAAAAUCUCGUACUUCCCUAUCUCGGAUCAGUACAUAUAUAGACUGAACGGUAAAACACCUUCCAGCAAUUGGAUCACCAUGGUAACUUUGUGGUUAAGGUUGGAUUUAGAAUUUAGGUCGGAGAUAAUUAGAAAUAAGUUGGGGUUUUGGGCUGUGCUUGUAUAUGUUGCUAAAUACGUAUAGUGUAGUGUUGUUUAAUAAAAUAUUAUUUAAAAAAAUAUAAUUACGAGAAGCAGAGUAUAGAAUAUUAGGAUAACUCCUCUUACUGGUAAGAUAUGGUUCAGAUAUAAGCUUCUGUUUCAGAUUAUCCAAAUAUUAUUUUUGUUACCUUCCUGUUACAAAAGCUCCAGAAUUUUCGGAUUAUCAACCUGAAGUAGAAAUUGAAGCAGAACCAACGAGACUCUUAAAGGGCGUUUUGUUUCGCCUAAAUAAUACCAAAAAAAUAAUCUUCUGGCUGAAAAAAAAAUAUUUUCCGUUCGUUUAAUUCCUAGAGAAGUUAAUUAUUCUCAAAAUUUUCAAAAAAAAUAAAAACUAUGUAAAGAUACAUUUUUCAUAAAAAAGAAUCUUAAUUCUUGGAAAAUAAUUUUUCACGCUUUUAUGAGAAACCGAACGCCCCCUUACAUAAAAGAAAAAAAGGCAAGAUCAUUUCUUCAAGAAGGUGCUAACCUACACCUGACCAUUUACAUAAAUUAAUCAAACCAAAAUUGAAAGUGACUAUUUACAUAAAUUAAUUAAAACCAAUUCGAUCCCACUUGCGUGUUUAUAGGUCUGGGUAGAGACCCAACCACUAUCAUGAAUGAUUGAAGCCAAGGAGAAAAUGGAAGUACACUAGGAAAGAAAAAAAGGAGAAAGAAAAAGAUAGUGUGAUAGAGACAGGGUUUAUAUAUAUGAUAAUAUUUUAUAUAUAUAUAUAUAUAUAUAUGAUAUGAUCUACAUGAGCUUAAGUUUAAGUUAGCUUUGAGCUCUUACUGUGGUGUGAAAUAUCAUAGAAUUAUUUAAUUUCCUUUAUGAAGCCUCAUGAUGCUACUUUGAUGCCCCACAACCUGAAAAUAAAUGCAUAUAUGGAAGCAUAGUGAUCAGUGGAACAAUGAUGGAGGAAUAGUGAGGCUACAGAGCCUUGGAUUUGAAAUGGUGAGAAAAUUAUUGGUUAUAAUAAUAUAAAAGGAGUUGGGUAACUAGAAGUGCAUGAUUGAUUCUUAUGCAAAGGUAAUACACCAUGUCACUCACAGAAUAAAAAGAUAUGCUAAUAUAUAUUAGGGUUAAUUGCAUACAGGUCCCCGCAAACAUAGUGAAUUAUAAAUAUAUCCCUAUAAAGUUCAACUUUUAAUAAAUUAUCCCUACAAAAGUCCUAACGUUUUCAGAUAUGUCCCUUUGGUUUGUUACCGUUAGAGAAUCGUUAGAAAACUGUUUAUAUUUUCAAUUUUGCCAUCACAAAUACGUCCCUCCAAAAGUUAUAACAGUAUAACAUAAGAGGGGUAAAAAUAUCAAAAAUUAAUCCGGAUAAAGUAUUUAACCUAUGAUUAACUAAACUUUUCUCACGGAUUCUAACGGCUGGGAUAUAUAUAUGAAAACAUUAGAACUUUUACAGGAAUAACUUAUAAAAGUUGAACUUUAUAAAGAUAUAUCUGUAAUUUACUAUAUUUAUGGGGACCUAUAUGCAAUUGACCCUUGGGGCUUAUUUGGAUGCAUUUUGAAUAUUUCCUUCAACAUAUAUUUUUAGUUUAUUGAAACAAGGAUAUAUUACUUGGUUGAAGAAUCCCGCUGCUAUACUAUUAAAAGUAUGAAGCCCUUCGUGCUAUAAUAUUAUUUUCGAUGAUGGAACAUCCAACUCGGCGAUUAGUUCCGCUAAACUUGAUCUUCACUAUUAAAAAUAUUUAAAAAUCAAAUUUUCUAAUUUUUCGACAUUAUUUAUCUAUAGAAUGAAUAGACUCAAAAUAAACAAAAUAAAAAUACCCUAAAAAAUAAUGAUAAAAUAUUUAAAUUUCAGAUCAGAGUAUUCGUCUUGCUCUAAAUAGUAAAAUAAAAAAAUUCUGUCAAAAUUCACUGGAUUUAGAUUGUAUCGUACCAUCAAAAUUACCAAUACAUCACAUUGGCUAUUAAAAUUAUUAAUUUUGAAUCAAAUGAUGAUGAAAAAAAAAAAAAAAGAAUUCUAAAUACUUCCACUAUCAUAGGAUUGUCGAUUCAGAUAUCACAUCAUCAAAAAUAAUUUCAUAAAACGAUAACCUCCAUACUAUUAAUAGUCCUGUAGCCCAGUUUUUUGAAAAAUAUCUACAUCAGCAUAAUAUAUACAACAUCCCAAUCCUUUUUCUCCCUGUAUAAUUAAGCAAAGUUGGCUUGUGAGGGUUAAGGUCAAAAUCUCAACUUACAAUUAUGGUAAAAAGUCGAUACCACAAAUAUUAUCACUGAAUAACUUAUUUCAACAUCAAGCCAAGCCCUUGUAAGAUGUGGGUUUAAAAUAAGCCACAACAUCUUAGCAUAUGACCCUAGAUCAUUACCUAAUGGCAUAGAAAUUAGAAAACAACUCCACAAGCUACAAUGGUAAUAAAUAUUAGUGAGGCAUAAAGGCUACAGGGGGAGCUAGCAUCAUGUGCAACAUAGAUAAAAAUUCACAAGUACAAACAGUUCAUGAGAACAUUUGUAUGGUGUAGCUUAACCAAGAAUAUCUUAAAGAACCUUCAAACUACAGGAAGAAGUUAAAAAGUAGGCGCCCCAUGUCAUAUGAGAGCAAUUAGGGCACCUCGGCGACGACACUUAGCCGAUAACCUCAUUUGCUUUUGCCUUUAAAAAAAAAAAGGCUUGUGCAGGUGUAAAAAAGCAAAAAAGCAAGACUAAUGACAUUAGUUAUGUCUCCACUUUUAGAAGAACCUAAUCCUAACACACAAAGGACGGGAGAGCCUUUAAUUUAAGUCCCUAACAUGAUUACCACUGUAUGUGGAGACUAUGAUGAGCAUCAAGUACCAAGAGAAUGUCUUUGGCUAAAAAAAAGGCCAUUGUGUUUGUAUUAAUGCUCAUGCAUGCCUAAUUCCUCAUCAUUUGGCCUAAUGGGGCCAUUAACAAAUCCUUAUUAUGGGAAUUAUGGAAAGUUCAGUUAAGUGAUAUCUCUUUAUGAGCCCCCCUAUAAAGAUGGUGAGUAGGGUACACCUGCAAUACCAAAAUAUUGUUUAGUUUCUGUAUGUACAGUGAACUAAUAUAAGCAUCAGGAUUGGGAUUAUAUUUGCAUGUCUCAGUGAUACAGUGCUUAUUUUUAAGAAUACGAAUGCAUUUAGGAGUGUGACAUGGUGAAGACGCAAUAAUUAUGUUGCAGUGUGGAAGUAGAUUUAGGCCAAGGUAAGAAUCUCAACUAACACAGAAGCAAGAAUUAGCGUAGGACAUGCAGAUAGAACCAAGAGAAUAACAAUGAUGCAAAAGACAGAAUAAAAACUUGCACUAGGUAACUGAAAAAGGAGAACAUGAAAAACUGAGCAUAUAUGCUUUCUUCAGAUGAUCUGUAAAAACCCAAAACCAAUCUGUCAACAUAGUCAGAUCUAUAUUUCAAUGAGACGAGGAAAAAAACAUCCUCUCUAUUCAACCUUUCUACUAGAGAUUCUUAGAACUCAUAGAAUUUGCCAAAAUGACAACAAAAAGGUCAUAACAUGACAUAAUCUAGGAGAACAGUGGGAAGUCAUAAGAGUGAUUGCAGGUGAUAGAACUUGGACCAGAGAAAUCGUUUAGCUCCAUCUUGAUGCAUGCAAAUGACAAAUAUUGACUCUGGUCAGUACAUUCUUCAUCCUGAUACAUAGAAUCGAAUGGAAUUACAAUUUAUUAAUAUACUGGGCAUGCUCGGAUGAACUCUAUCUGCCGCGAAAUUACAAAAUAUUUCUCUUUGACAUAUAAGAGAAAAAAUGAAAAAUGAGACAAUAGGAACAUACGUAUUAGAGUACCUGCCAAAGGAUAAAUGAAGGCAACAGCUUGUUUCUAAUUUAGUUCGAUACGAAUUGGAUAUCCAAGGCUCUCACUCUUUAGCUUGUAAAAGAUAGCAUAUAAGGAAGAUAAACAUACAUGUAGCACGAUCUCCAUCCAGUGAUUCUCCAGGUGAAAGGAACAUAUGCCAAAAAAACACAUAUUAGUGACGCUUCAUUUCCCGAAAAAUAUUUGCCACGUUUGGAGACAACCUUGGAAGGAACUUGAAUAACUGCAAAAAGAAGACAAAAUAGUUAGCAUAGAUAAUCUAAAAAGGCAUUAACUAGUAUGCAACAUUGUGGGUUUCUCUGAUGGAGUAUUUGGAGACAAUCCUAAGAUUCAACAGUUUUACAUGAAGUGGUUACUUUUAAGACUUCAAAGGAAAAACAGGGACUAAAAUAUAGGAUGUUAAUAUUGAACAGCUAUUAGCCCAUAUACUCAUAUCUAGACAAACCACUAUGUAAACAAUGUCAAAAGUUACUCAUUAAGUAUCGUACUUUUAACUGAACGAAUGGGUAGUAAACUGGUCUGGUCGAAAUGCAUGUUCAGUUUAAUCAUGCUAAGUUUCAGUAAAGAAAGUAUCAUACACCUGAAACAGCACUUACCCAAAACUUCACACAAGCAUCAAUAACCACUGGAACUGAGCAGAUAAAAACGGUAAUCGCAGCUUGAUCAACCUCAAGCCCAUAUCUCUCAAGGAUAAUUUCUAUCAACACCUGCCAACCCGACUCAGAAUGGUACCUGCAUUUCCAGAGUCAAAUAAUAGAGAUUAUCAUAAAGAAAAUAAUAUAUUUGCAUAGUAACCGCUACAAAAUUCUUUACAAUAUACUGCAAUAUCUGAAUUUUCAUUUACACCCUUCGAAGAAUUAUAUUCGCAUAUACAUAUCCUCGAGCUUAUAAAAAUUCCCCUUAUAUUUCUUCAGUGCUGCUUUGCAUGUGGUCGGAUAAUCUGUAUAUUUCUCUAAUCAGAUAUUAUCUUCCAAUUGCCAUUUAUAACAGGAAAUCUUAGAUGAUGCCUGCAAAGAUUCAGAUAACAUACCCCAAAAAAAUGUCCGUAAUUAGAAUGAUAAGAAAUGCCUUUCCGGUGUCUGAAAUAUUAUUUAAUAGCUUAUACCCUGUAAACUUGAGCAAAGCAACCUGAAAAUAGAAAAGAAAGCAAAAGAAUAAAUGAGCUGGCUGAGGAUUCAAAUAUAACAUUAAUUGCAAGGACUACGAAGCGUUUUUCACUAUAUACUAUAAAGCUUAUACAAUGUAGAGACGAUACAAUCUUUACUAAGUUCAGAAAUCAGGUGCAAAAGCAUAAAUGUUGACCAAAUUACAGUUUCCUAUUAUCUGAUGAUCAAUUAUCAGCAUAUUUUUCUUUGGUAUUAAUACAUUAGAUAAUUGUUGAGAGGAUAGUAAUAGUCCAAUUGCUAACAGUAUCUUACUCUGCUAUAUUACCAAAAAGGAAUUUUUAACAUGCAAAUUCUGGGGGAAACAAGAGUAACUGUAAACAAAAAACAAAAAGAAAAAAGAAGGUUGGCAAGUAUUAGAUGGAAGUCUUACCUUGCUCUGAUUGAAAUAAAUAAGAAUAAACAGUGCAAUGCCAUACACCAUAUCGGACCAGAUAUUUGCAAAUGCUUUUCGGUUCUCCAAUCUCCAUUCAUCUCUCAACUCUAUCCUGAUAAAGAGGUAGAACAGAGCACAAGGUUAAGAACGAUCUAGAGAGGUAAAUCUAAUUAGGCAUGACAUAUCAACUUAAAUUCAAAAGAAAAAUGAUAGCAGCAAAGAGGGCAUGAAAUUUAUUAUACCAACCCAUAUCUAACAAACAUGUAUGAAAACAUAUAAAAUAGGUAACUAUUAAUAAUAGCGUUUUGAUAACAAUGUACAGAGACCCCUUUAUAGGUUAUUUUGAAAUAGACGGGCCAUUUUCCUUUUUGAUGGAUAUCUCACUCAGCUGUUAUUGUUUUAAUUUAUGUUACUCAGUUGGAUUCAGGAUUUCAUCAAACUAACUGGUAUUCCAUAACAAUAAAUGAUUAACCCGAAAGAACUACAGGUGCUAUUAACAAAUAACGGCCCAUAGCAAAUGGAGUUGUCGAUUUUAGGCAUGUUUGGUUCAUGAUUGGAAUAGUGAUUGCCUUGGAAUUGGAAAUGGAAUGACGAAUCAUCCAAAAAUAUUUGGUUCAUUAUUGGAACGGAAAUCGGAAUGAGACUCUACGAUUUUGAGAGAGGGUUUUGAUUAAGAGAGAUGAAAGAAGAGGAGGGAGGUGUUUAUGAGAGAGGAUUUUGGGUAUUUUACUUUGGAAUGAGUCAAUCCGGGGUUCAAAGUCAGAUUGGGCCAUAUAUGAAUUUGACCAUCCCCAUUCCAGAGUGGAAUAGGAAUCGAAAUUUGAUUCCUAUAAAACAAACAACAUCUAUCGGAAUUGACGAAUCACAUUCCGAUUCCAUAGUCUAAAGUAGGUGAACCAAACAUGCCCUUAACGUAAUUCCAAAUCAAGUCGUCAAAAAUAGCUCAAAUCAAGACAAGUAGAAGUAUAGUGGUUCUAUUGGAAAAGUUGAGUGAUAAACUCCAAUGGCCUUAUAUUGAGGUGGCCUCCCAACAUUUUUACCAACCACUUUUGCCAGUUAAUUUUAGGAAAAAAGGCAUCAGAAAUCUUACGCUUUGUCCCGCAACUCUAACCAGACUUCUUCAUCAGAAAGAGGAGGAGCUUUACCAAUCUCUGCUUCAAAGCGGUAUCUUGCGCUUUCAACUUUUAGAGCCUUUAUCAUCUCAAGUUUUUGUUGUCUUCUAACAUCAAGCAUCUCAGCAGCAAGGGGCACGAGCUUCACAUACCUAUUUAACAUUAUGAACUCCUUGAAACGAUCAAUCAGGAGGUUUUGUUUAGAUAUAUGCACUGUCAAUGCACUAAAUGCGCCAUGAUCAAAUGCAACAUAUAUAAAGAUAACAGAAAAAUAAAUUAAAUAGAAAAAGAACUCCUAAUUGCAUAUAGGUGCUUUUCCAUUAGAGUAUAAUUCAACGCACUGCUGUCCUUACACAUCCUUUAGUGAUUAUAAGAAGGAUUCUGUACAGUUUUUACUUAAAAUAUCUUAGUGAAUAUUAAAAGAAUAAAAUAACAUAGUUUACGAUCUAACUCUCAUCUAUUUUAGAUUGUUGAUCUCUUGGUACUUUCAGCAAUGGAUACUGCCCAGGUGUCAUCCAUUAUUUCAUAACAAUAUAGAGAAAUAUUCGCUUUUCAGUUUUCACAUGAACUGCACCUUAGCAUUCAUUUGAUGUUUGUCAGUAUGAUUGCAACGAAAUAAAAAUUUAUAAUAGAGUAAUAGACAGCAGCCAAUAAUUAGGUAGCUUAACGCUAAAUAGAAUUAUCACAAAGGACCACAUCAAAUAUUUGAGAGUCCUACAGAUUUUUUUUUUUUUCCUUUUUCUUUCCUACAGCUUAUUGUUCUCUGAAGAUAUUGAAAGCUCUAAACAUCCAGAAAAGCACAGGAGGUAUAUUGCAAAAUGAUAGCAUAAAAAAAUAUACAUCUCAUACCGAUAGACAUCAAAGGAUUACCUAUCUAAAAAAGGCAUGAGAACAUAGUCAUGAACCACAAAGUCUAGAGCCCAUGGAAUCAAGACCAGCAAAGCGAUAAAUUUUGCCUGGAAAAGAGUAUACAUCAGAAAUUAAUACCAGCCCAAAAUUGGCCAUAUGGUUCAAUCUUAACAUUUUUGGUGCAUAUGUUGAGAUCACUCUGAAGAUCCUCAAUGCACAAAAAGCCUUAUGAAGUAAGAGAAUGCUAUGAUUCACCAUGCAAAUUCGUGAGCAUCAAAUCAUUCAAUUUAAAAAUCAAUGGCCAGAAUGAAACUCAACAAAGAGCUUAAGAGCGAAUGGAGCAAUGCAACAUUAGAAUUUGCACCCAUUUGAGCACAUACUACAGAACUCAGCACUGAAGCAUUCUCUUAAACUAUAAGCCAAGCAACCAAAAAAGCAAAAAGCAUACCGAGCUUGUGACCUUAACAUACCGAGCUUGUCGAAGCAUACUUGAAAACCCUAUCCUCGAACAACAACUCGUCAUCAUUCCCGUCAAUCGUAUCCUUGAUGGAUUUAACUAAACCCUUCUCCCACAUUAUCUUACUUGGAUCAUCAAACACCUCAUUUGAAGGUUCACCCCCUUCGCCCCAAUCUGGAUCCCGGGCCCCAAUCCAAUCCUCCCACGCCCGACCAUCUUCACUCCUCGCAUCCUCCUGCGCUUCCCGCAGCUCUAUAAUCGCCUCCGCCUUCCUUCUCCAUGCUUCGAACUCCUCAUUCUCCGUAAUCCCUUCUUCCCGACUUUCCCCCGCAUCACCGCCAAGCACAUCCUCGGCGCUCCACUCGACCUGACCCUCAUAGUCCUCAUCGGAGAACAAUCUCUCCCACCAAGCCCGCUUCUUUAAAUGCCUCUUCUUCCUCCUCUUCGCGAAAGACACCAAACCGCCAAUCCGAUUUCGUUGGGAAAUAAACACAGACAUGUGGUGGGCAUGAGAUUUCCUCCGAAAUCUCUCCCUGCUGUUACAACUGCUCAUCCUGCCGAAGGUAACCAUUAGAGUGCUCAUUAAUUACCUGAAAAAGACGCCACAUUUUUCAAUCUUUCCGUGCCCUAUGAUUAGGGUCUUCGCAUUGCCCUAGCACGCAAUCCACGGCAAAUUCCUCGUCGAGGGAGUAGGACGCAGCCGCGACCUUAAUCGCAUCAAAAGGAAUCGAGAAAUUAGGGUUUGAAGAUGAGGGAGAAGGACAAGGCGAACUAGGGUUUUAGCUCUCCAUGAUGGAGAGGGCGCGAGAGAUAGAGAGAGAGAGAGCGGGAGAGGAGGGAGAGGAGGCGAGAGUGGAUAAUGUACGAACGUAACGGCUCGGAAACUCCACGCAGGUUCGCAACCACGCGUGUUUCCUCGCGGCGUAGUUGAAUGACGUGGCGUUUCCAGGGGUGGGCAUCGGCCAUGCCUUUAAUGGGCCGGGUCGGGUUUUUACCCGGCCCAUUUUAGAUAGUUUUGUGGGCUCUAUAGGCCGGACCCGAAAAGCUUCUACUGCUUCGCGCCCGAAUUCGUAGUGGGUUGGGCUUCUGGGCACAGGACAUUGCUUAGUUUGGGGCUUGCAUGGAAUGGAUUUAAUAUUGCAUCCACCGGGUGUAUAACUACUACACAUACACCGCACCAGUGAUGCAAACGGGGCGGAUCCAUGGGUGCGAGGGGUUUCUGAUCUCACGCCCUAUUUUCUGGGCAGAUCGAGAUGGAUCUGGAGUUGAUAUUUAUCUUAUUUGUUGCCUCCGCUUACCACUCCAUUCAGAACAGGAUUGGAUAUCACCAGAUUUUUCAUUGAUUUUUGAUAAAUCAGGACGUAUUAAGAAAAAGAAGAGGGCUCAUAUGAGUGGUGUUUUUUUUGUUAACUUAUAUUUGACCCUUAUUUAUCGUGUCAUUCAGACGGAUCACAUAAAGCUCUAUCAAUCCAGAUCCAAUUGCAUCCCUACAUCGCAUUAUUACGGACCCGUUUGAUAUUUAGAGUUUCUAUUAGUUAAAAAAAAAAAAAGUUGGCAUGAAAAAUAUAAAAACAUAAUUCUCUAUUUUCUUAUUGGAACUCAAAAAUUAUAUCUUUGCAACUCAUUGCAAUAUAUAAAAUAUGAUAUUUUUUAGAAUAGUAACUACUUUUCUAUUGUACGCAACACAAAUUGCCCACAAACACUAAAUAAAGCCUGAAUCUCCAUAAUAGAGGAAUCAAAAUCAAAAUCAAAAUUUAAAAUCAAAUUGAUAUUUGGCCUAUAUUUAUUAAAAAUUAUACAUUUUGUAUUCAAUUUUUUUUUUUACAAAUCAAACAGAUAGCCUUUUCUCUACAUUUAAUUUUUUUAGGCAGCUUCGAUGCCUAAGUAAUAGCUUUUCAAUAUGCAUAAUAUUUUAUAUAUAGCCUCAGACGAGAAUUUGAUUUUUAAAUAUUACUCAUCAAAUAUAAAGAACGGUGUAUAAAGUGUACGUAUACACUCGGCGCAGGUAACUAUUUCCCCGCUGCAAGAGAGGUGCGUGCCGAGUCACUGCAGUUCCCACGUGUCGGCGUGCAUCAGCACUCACGUGCCACUACUUCCGCACGUGUCCGUGCGCUUUUCUUAUGGCCUUCAUUAUUAAUAAAAUUUUAACUUUUGAAGUUGGUAAUUUGAAAAUAAAUUAAAAUUUUAAUAUUCAAAAUUGAAAAUUUUAUAAUAUAAAAUUUUAAAAUUAUAUUAUACUAUAUAAUAUAUAUAUAUGAUAUAUAGUAGUAUAUAAUAUAUAUAAUAAAAUUGAGCUAGAAUACUUUUUAAAAGUAUACCAAUCGAUGAUGCUAUUAGUUUUUCGUCAUUGGAUCUAUUCCUUGAUUACUAUAGCCCUUGGAUCAAAACACAUCACUAGUACCACCUACACUACCUACCACAUCAUCACAACCUUUACAUUCCUCUCCCAUCAAUGGUUAAAAAACUCAACAAGCACCACUCCAUGGUGCUUUGAAUGCUAUUCUUGCUCAACUCCUCUCCUCUCUCCUGGAUCUCCUUCCGUCUGCUCUCUCUCUCUCUAAUAUAUAUAUAUAUGUGCCGGGAUCUAUAUACUCUUAAGAGAUAACCCCCUUAUACUCAUCAAAUUUUAAACACCGUUGAUUGAUGGCGGAUGUGUCUAGAGAUGAUGGUGUCUCCACAUUAAAUACAUAGUGUCUUCCCUAGGGUUGAGUGGUAGUUGUUUGAAUAGUAUGAUUCUAACGGAGUGAAUAGAUCAAUGAAAUAAAUCUAGGGCCAAAACUUAUGAUUAUAAGGGAGCAAUAUCAUAAACGUAUAGAGUUCCGACUUCAUAUAUUAUAUAAUAUAUAUAUAUAUAUAAUUAUAGUAUAUAUAUAUAUAUAUAAUAUACUAGGUCGACUACUAUUACUAUUAUAGUGCGAUCCGCCUCGUAGAUCAUAAGUUGUUUUCGAUGAUAGAGCUUUCCGUAUCAACGAUCCACACCGUUAAACGUUAUUUACAGCAUUUAAAACUUCUAGAAAUUAAAUUUUAUAAUUUUUCGACAUCAUUUACUUUACGAUCAAGAGGUCCCAAAUUUGACAAUUUUUAACGGCCGUUAUGGGAUACUUGCUAGUUUAACGGUGUAAAAGAAUCGAAAUUUGUUGAAUUUUUGAUAGAAAAUUCUAUUCACUACAUAGAUAAAGAUCAAUAACUCCGAUCUUGAAUUGAAGGAUCCGAUCAUCCUUUUUUAAGACGUCGUUCGAUUUUGACCGUUCAUUUUAUGCCCACUUGAUGGACUUUAUUAUGAUUUCGAAAAUUUACGAAAAUUUAUGAAUUUUAUUUUAUAGAAGUUUCAAAUACUCUAGAUCAUAUUUAACGGAGUGGAUCGUCGAUUCCGAAGCUCCAUCAUUGAAAACAACUUAUGAGUACGAACGCUCCAAUACUCAUAAUAGUAUAGUAGCCAUAGCCUAUAUAUAUAUAUAGGUAGGGAGAGGGAGGAAGGGGCGUUGGAAUACGUGUUAUUCUCUAAACUCUGAAAAAAGAAUAGAUAAAAAUAGACCAGAUGCACCUAAGAUUUUUCUAUAAAUUAUACAUAUGUCUACAAUCAACGGCACCAAAUAUACCGAGUAGUUGAGC
Molecule: long non-coding RNA, 17143 nt
Filed under: Ananas comosus (pineapple)
Lineage: Eukaryota; Viridiplantae; Streptophyta; Magnoliopsida; Poales; Bromeliaceae
Description: long non-coding RNA (ACOM_LNC028584)
Source: RNAcentral